This 465-nucleotide ribosomal RNA is filed under the name uncultured bacterium. RNAcentral describes it as "partial 16S ribosomal RNA". It matches the Rfam family "Bacterial small subunit ribosomal RNA", at positions 339 to 795 of the family's 1533-position model. The record is from RNAcentral.
CUACGGGCUGCUGCAGUGAGGAAUUUUGCGCAAUGGGGGGAACCCUGACGCAGCAACGCCGCGUGAGUGAUGAAGGCUUUCGGGUCGUAAAGCUCUGUCAAGUGGGAAGAACCUAUGCAGUGUUAAUAUCACUGUAUACUGACGGUACCACUGAAGGAAGCACCGGCUAACUCCGUGCCAGCAGCCGCGGUAAUACGGGGGGUGCAAGCGUUAUUCGGAAUCAUUGGGCGUAAAGGGCACGUAGGCGGCUUGGUAAGUCAGAUGUGAAAGCCCGGGGCUUAACCCCGGAAGUGCAUUUGAUACUGUCAGGCUUGAGUAUGGGAGAGGGAAGUGGAAUUCCUGGUGUAGAGGUGAAAUUCGUAGAUAUCAGGAGGAACACCGGUGGCGAAGGCGACUUCCUGGACCAAUACUGACGCUGAGGUGCGAAGGCGUGGGUAGCAAACGGGAUUAGAUACCCUUGUAGUC